RNAcentral lists this long non-coding RNA (249 nucleotides) under Capsella grandiflora. RNAcentral's name for it is "long non-coding RNA (CGRA_LNC000773)". The record is from RNAcentral. Lineage: Eukaryota; Viridiplantae; Streptophyta; Magnoliopsida; Brassicales; Brassicaceae.
UCCUCCUUCUUCUUCGUCGGAAUCGAUUCCUUUCUCACUCAACCUUGCUUUUGAUGCCGAAAUCAAUUAUCUCUCUCUCGUUUCUACUCCUUCUUCUGUCGCCGGUAUCGCACAUUGCUUUCCGACUUUGUCCGCCGGGAGCUCGUCCGCCUCGUGUCCUUCAUCCCAUUGUUUUCACCAUUUGCAACUGCUGAGAUGCAAAUCCUUGGAGUUGAGCCAAAUCGAUAAAAACCCCAAUUCAAAAUCGAA